Oxyura jamaicensis (ruddy duck) is the source of this 255-nucleotide long non-coding RNA. RefSeq lists it as uncharacterized. NCBI's taxonomy places the organism in Eukaryota, Metazoa, Chordata, Aves, Anseriformes, Anatidae. The record is from RefSeq and is a predicted model, not a curated record. The transcript is spliced from 2 exons.
GCCCCCUUCCGGCCCGCGCCGCGCCCGGCCAUGGUGGGGAAAGCCCGGCGCCCCCGGCUGCACCGCAGCGCGCCCCGCCCGGCAGACCCGGCGGGCCCCGGCCCCGGCCCCGGCGGCUGGAGCGCGCCCGCCGGGAAGGACUGGGACUUUUCUUCAUCUGACAUAUUUUCUGGGCUGAAUAUCGACCCCGAUACACUGGUGAAGAAACUUGACUUGGACUCCAGAAGCAUCAUUUCCUCUAGAACAGGUGAGAAG